GAUGAUGUGGCCUCUGCUCCUACCCCUCCUCGCCGCCGCGGCCAGCGCCAAGAUCACGCCGCCGCCGCCGCCUGCCCCGUCGCCAACGACGCCGUGGCCGGAGCAGUUCCACGCGGUGGUGAUCACCAACCUGACGUCAAAAAGCGGCAGGCUGCAGGUGAUCGACAGCUACUACGACUGGCCGCGGGGGCGCUCCGUGAACGUCAUCCGCGACCAGCUCUCCGCCGCCGGCGAGCCGCCGCUCCGGAACGUCGAGUGGGCCAACGGCACCUCCUUCCUCUUCGACGCCGCGUCCUGCUGGACCUUCCACUUCGCCGUGGGCCUCCUGCCGCCCGACUGGAAGAAGGCCCGCGGCGCCGCCUACCUGGGCCGCGGCCGCCUCGACGGCUUCGACUGCCACGUCUGGUCCAACUUCCUCUUCGCACGCUACUACGAGGACGUCGCCACCGGCCGCCCCGUCGGAUGGAACUUCAACGGUCGGUGUUCAACUACUUACGACCUGCAAAUCCCCGUCUUGAAUUAGUUUCCUGAUUAUUCUGCCUAGAAUUAUUCUAAAUUCUCUCCGUUCUGCGGAUGGUCAGUACGAAUGAAUCAGCUUGAUGAAGCUAGCAGAACAAGUUUAUGAUGAUUGCUUCAUGUGAUCUUUGUUUUCCAGGGAUGGAGCGGCAUGUGCUGAGCUUUGAGGCAGGGGCAGUGCUGCCGGACUCCGGCAAGUGGCAGGCGCCGGCUUACUGCUUCAAUGGCAGCAACGCCGACGCCCCUGCUCCUUCUCCGGUUGAUCAGCUGAUUCGCCGGGGCUCCAGCUGCAGCUAAAGGUCCUCCACAGUGUGUUGCCAGAGUGAUGCCCAAAGAGAAGAGAAAAGAUUUGGGCAUCACUCCUACCACUGCAGGAGGUGAUGCUAAUUUUCAGUGAUGCUGAGAAAAUUGAGAGCGAGACAUCUAAGUAUAUACAAAAGGACUUAUUUGUCAAAAUAUGAAAGAACCAACCUUUUAAGUAUUAUUUUGGUGAAGCCAAUGUUUCGAUCGAGUGGCAAAUUGUCGAAACUACAUGUAUGGUAAAUAUGUGAUGGCAAUUUAAAUAGCAAACCAUUAGUCUUGAAUCAACCCUUUUGAGAAACCUUUUCAUUCUUAUCUACAAAUAUAUAGCACAUCAAGCUUCUAUUUUAUAAACAACAUGCUAUAAAGCAAAAUAAUUUCUUGUUAGAAUUCAUUUUUUAAAUUACUGAUAUAGAUAUUUAUCAAUGUGAUGAAAAGAACAAAUUUCUUGAAUCAUUAUCAUAUUAACACAUAGUUUAAUUUUGAUCACAUUCUAAAAUAAUAAUAGAGUGAAUAAUUAGAAGAGUACUCUGAGGCUAUGCUUGGAAGAUGGUGGACCUUGCACUUGAGAAAUUUGCUCUAUUGACAUCCCUAACAUGUGGUUUCGCACAUUUGACACCUAAAACAUAAGGUUGCUUGAUUUGCUGACAUUUCCACCUUUUUAUAUCGGUUCCCUUUUCUUUUUGCCGUGUUGGGCAUCUGAAAUGACCAUCUUAGCCCCUGAACGAUGCACCGCCUUCCUUUUGCUCCAGUUGAACAGUAUUUCAUAACAUGUUUUCACAUGAACUUUGCAGCCACACCAAGUGACAUGCCACAAUAUAUUUUUGCACAAAUAUUACUAUGUUAGAGCAACACAAAAUGGCACCGGUUCAUAGCCAUAUACAUCCAGUUACGGUUCACGCAAUAAGUUUAUAUAUAUAUAGUUCAUGUUCACGUAUCUCAACCAAAUAGGUUGAAUAGUUCACACAUGUAGUUCAUAAAUAAAUCUUAGCAGUAACUGCACCUGAGCCAAAAUAAGUUCAGUCAGUAUACAUGCGUCAUAUGUCAUUUGAUAGGCUAAGGAGAUAAACACAGGCAAGGGCACAUAUGUCAUUUGAUAGGUCAAAAUGUAAAAAAAAAAGAAAAUAGAUUAAAAAGAGAAGAAUGUCACAAAAUCAAGUGGAAUAUGCGAAGCCUCGUUAUUUAGAGUCUCAAUGCAGCUAAUUUCUCCUUACUUAUUCCCUAGGGGGCUGUUUGGAUACGAGAUGCUAAAACUUUAGGAGGGUUACAUCGAAUGUUCGGACGUUAAUUAGGAGGACUAAACAUGAGCUAAUUAUAAAACUAACUGCAGAACCCCUAUGCUAAUUCGCGAGACGAAUCUAUUAAGCCUAAUUAAUCCAUCAUUAGCAAAUGGGUUACUGUAGCACCACAUUGUCAAAUCAUGAACUAAUUAGGCUUAAUAGAUUCGUCUCGCAAAUUAGACUCCAUCUGUACAAUUAGUUUUUUUUAUAAUUAAACUAUAUUUAAUACUCCUAUUCAAACAUCUGAUGUGACAGAAUGUACCUGAACACCUCUACAACUCCCAGAUCUAUUUUACAACUUUGCCACAUGNNNNNNNNNNNNNNNNNNNNNNNNNNNNNNNNNNNNNNNNNNNNNNNNNNNNNNNNNNNNNNNNNNNNNNNNNNNNNNNNNNNNNNNNNNNNNNNNNNNNNNNNCGCAACAGCCGCCGAUGUUGCCGCCGCCGCCGCCGCCGCCGCCGCCCCUUAUGCUUCUCCCGCUCCUCCUUGCCGCCAGCUCCUUCGCCGCGGCCAAUGCCAAGGCUACACCCCCGUCUGCCACCGCGGCGGCAGGCGCCCGCGCCGGCUCCCCUGCCCCGGUUCCGACGCCGUGGCCGGAGCAGUUCCACGCGGUGAUUUUCACGAACCUCACCGAGAGCGGCGGCCGGCUGCAGCUGAUAGACAUCUACUACGACUGGCCCAAGGGCCGCAACCUCAACCUCAUCCACAACCAGCUCUCCGGCGACCCGACCUACAACGUCGAGUGGGCCAACGGCACCUCCUACCUCUUCGACGCCGCGUCCUGCUGGACCUUCCACUUCGCCGUGGGCCUCCUGCCGCCCGACUGGAUGAAGGCCCGCGGCGCCGCCUACCUGGGCCGCGGCCGCCUCGACGGCUUCGACUGCCACGUCUGGUCCAACUUCCUCUUCGCACGCUACUACGAGGACGCCGCCACCGGCCGCCCCGUCGGAUGGAACUUCAACGGUCGGUGUUCAACUAAUUACGACCUGCAAAUCCCCGUCUUGAAUUAGUUUCUUGAUUAUUCUGCCUAGAAUUAUUCUAAAUUCUCUCCGUUCUGCGGAUGGUCAGUACGAAUGAAUCAGCUUGAUGAAGCUAGCAGAACAAGUUUAUGAUGAUUGCUUCAUGUGAUCUUUGUUUUCCAGGGAUGUUGCGGCAUGUGCUGAGCUUUGAGGCAGGGGCAGUGCUGUCGGACUCCGGCAAGUGGCAGGCGCCGGCUUACUGCUUCAAUGGCAGCAACGCCGACGCCCCUGCUCCUUCUCCGGUUGAUCAGCUGAUUCGCCGGGGCUCCGGCAGCAGCUAAAGGUCCUCCACAGUGUGUUGCCAGAGUGAUGCAAAAUACUAUUUUCCAUACCAUUCAAUAGGAAAUCUGGCACCCCCACUCCCUUUGGCAGCAUCUACUAAUUUGGAACUUAAUUUGAAAGCGAUAUUUCGACCCGGACACUUUUGGAUGCUUCUAAUAACCAACGAAUAGCAAGUGCUCUUCCUUGUUUAGAUCCUAUUUCAAUCGGAACUUUCCGCGUCGAUCCUUUUUUAUUACGUCUUGUUUUUACUCCUAUAUUGGGAGUUACUCUACGUAUUGCUUGACGUAAAACCAAUAGUGGAUUUGUUUCUGUCUUUUGUUGAAUCUUUUUCACAGGCUCGAUAGAGAAGUUGAUAAGCCAAUGAUUUUUUUCCGUCUUUCAUAAUACGGUUAACCACCAUGUUAACUAAUCGAUUACGAAAAAUUGGAUCGGGUUUUGCGGUUCUUUUUUCUGCAGUACCUCGACGUGACAUGAACCUAUUGGGAAUUAGUCCUACACUUGUCCUAUCAUACCUUCUUCGUGUAUACGAAGUAGUAGACUUGACUAACUCAAUUCUUAGGAAAUCGCGAAUCAGAUCAUUUGUUCUUACCUCAACAAGAGCUCUGUUGCCAAAGAAUAAGUAGUUGAUAGCAAAAAACAGUUCAAGGCAGAAGUCUCUUGAGAAUGCAAAAGGCCUGCAAACCUAGUUCACACGAGUGGAUUCUUUCACAGCUCGUGCACCGAUUUUAUCCAGAUUUUGACUCUUUUCUUUGCCAGGUUAGUUGAUCAAUGCGAAUUGUCAAGGUAAGUUGUUGAUCAAAUCCAAAUUGACCAUGCAACGCACCACUAACUUUCCCAAAUGGGUCAACGAAAAGUGCCACCCAAUGUUCUAGUACGAGUACAUCCAGUUCCGGGUGGUCAUCUAGUAUGGGACCUAAGAGAAACCCUUUUUGAAUCCUUUUAUUAAGCCAUUGCUAAUCCCGUAAGGCAAUCCUUCAACGUUGUAGAAAAGAGUUCAAUACAAAAGCAUAGAAAUUAUGUACGCCAAUAACAAAUACGAAUACGAAUUACGCCUACGAGCCUACGCAUUGGCAUGUUUCUUAGUAUAAAGCUAAGAACGAGAAUAGCCUACUGCCUCCACUCGGAAAAGGUAUCUGGUUCCUUUCAUCCAAAGAAAAUAAGGAUACGCAGAUCGAUGCAAAUCACAGCUAAGGGAAUCUUUUCCUAUAACUGCUAACGGCGGACCGUGUCUUUUAGCCCUCACUAGAUGACAACUUGCUUACUUUUUCACUUCUUCUUAAGCUUGGCAGACUAGUUCCUGACUGACUUGAUAGUGCGAUGAGCUUACUUGCUCUAGUUCCGUCUUUCCUCGCUAGGACGACGAAUUCACUCUAUCUGAAGAUCUGAGAAAGGCGCUGAUUACAGCUCUGUCCUUGGAUGGACCAUAGGCCUGAUGCUAGGAGAGUGUAGUUCGAGCAUUCUAUUGUGUGUUCGUGAUACGCAAAGCAAUCUCCUGUUUACUAAUGAUCUAAUGACAGUUGAUUGAGACUUGCCAUUGUCGUCUUUCGAAAGCGAACUCUUAUCUGGUUUCACUCGGGGUCUCCUGUCGACGGGAAGUGCUCGGUUCGGAUAACUUCUGUUUCCGUACCGGGAUCAGCAGGAGGGGAAUUUGAGGUUCUUGGUCCUCUGCGAAAUCAGUCCGCCAACUUGCUCUUUUCGUGCAUGACAGGUGCUCAUUCUUACGAAUGGUGGUGUGGCACAGCCCUUUACAUUUUCAAAAAAGCAGGAGCAACUUUCCACCUCGACUCCUUCCUUCCCCUCAUUCUAAGCCCGGCCACCUUUUCUUGUUUCAGUAGUUCUCCCCGCGAGCUCCUCCUGCAACUCCUCGAGAUCUAUUUUACAACUUUGCCCCAUGCCUGGACCAGUGGGCCCUCAAAUCAUGAACUAAUUAGGCUUAAUAGAUUCGUCUCGCGAAUUAGACUUCAUCUGUACAAUUAGUUUUUUAAUUAGACUAUAUUUAAUACUUCUAAUUAGUAUUUGAACAUACGAUGUGACAAGAAUUUAUCCGAACACCUCCUCGAGAUCUAUUUUACAACUUUACCGGACCAGUGGGCCCCACGGCUUUCUCCACCACUCGGUCACUUCAGCUUCGACUGGUCAGUAGCACUCGCCAAGCGAUAAGCUCGGGGCAAGCCGCAACAGCCGCCGAUGUUGCCGCCGCCGCCGCCGCCGCCGCCGCCCCUUAUGCUUCUCCCGCUCCUCCUUGCCGCCAGCUCCUUCGCCGCGGCCAAUGCCAAGGCUACACCCCCGUCUGCCACCGCGGCGGCAGGCGCCCGCGCCGGCUCCCCUGCCCCGGUUCCGACGCCGUGGCCGGAGCAGUUCCACGCGGUGAUUUUCACGAACCUCACCGAGAGCGGCGGCCGGCUGCAGCUGAUAGACAUCUACUACGACUGGCCCAAGGGCCGCAACCUCAACCUCAUCCACAACCAGCUCUCCGGCGACCCGACCUACAACGUCGAGUGGGCCAACGGCACCUCCUACCUCUUCGACGCCGCGUCCUGCUGGACCUUCCACUUCGCCGUGGGCCUCCUGCCGCCCGACUGGAUGAAGGCCCGCGGCGCCGCCUACCUGGGCCGCGGCCGCCUCGACGGCUUCGACUGCCACGUCUGGUCCAACUUCCUCUUCGCACGCUACUACGAGGACGCCGCCACCGGCCGCCCCGUCGGAUGGAACUUCAACGGUCGGUGUUCAACUAAUUACGACCUGCAAAUCCCCGUCUUGAAUUAGUUUCUUGAUUAUUCUGCCUAGAAUUAUUCUAAAUUCUCUCCGUUCUGCGGAUG
Molecule: long non-coding RNA, 6213 nt
Filed under: Setaria italica (foxtail millet)
Lineage: Eukaryota; Viridiplantae; Streptophyta; Magnoliopsida; Poales; Poaceae
Description: long non-coding RNA (SITA_LNC000950)
Source: RNAcentral